AAGCGCGCGUAGGUGGUUUGUUAAGUUGGAUGUGAAAUCCCCGGGCUCAACCUGGGAACUGCAUUCAAAACUGACUGACUAGAGUAUGGUAGAGGGUGGUGGAAUUUCCUGUGUAGCGGUGAAAUGCGUAGAUAUAGGAAGGAACACCAGUGGCGAAGGCGACCACCUGGACUGAUACUGACACUGAGGUGCGAAAGCGUGGGGAGCAAACAAGGAUUAGAUACCCGAGU
RNAcentral lists this ribosomal RNA (230 nucleotides) under uncultured bacterium. Its description in RNAcentral is "partial 16S ribosomal RNA". It matches the Rfam family "Bacterial small subunit ribosomal RNA", at positions 563 to 791 of the family's 1533-position model. The record is from RNAcentral.